CUCAGGCUCGGGGACUCGGGCUCGGGGCUCGGGGGCGCUCGCUUCCUCCUCCUGCGCCUGCUCCCGCCGCCCGCAGCUGCGCCCCGGGAACGCGGCGCCCUCUCACUUGUUGGUUUCUGCACUCCCGACACGGAGUUGGUGCUCCGGGAAGGCUGCUCUCUGAAGCUCUUCUUGCUCUGCUGUGGUUUUGCUCCUCCGCGGACUCCUUUCCCG
Molecule: long non-coding RNA, 213 nt
Filed under: Homo sapiens (human)
Lineage: Eukaryota; Metazoa; Chordata; Mammalia; Primates; Hominidae
Description: LHRI_LNC1427.1
Source: RNAcentral